Molecule: long non-coding RNA, 430 nt
Organism: Xiphias gladius (swordfish)
Lineage: Eukaryota; Metazoa; Chordata; Actinopteri; Istiophoriformes; Xiphiidae
Exons: 3
Source: RefSeq, a predicted model, not a curated record
UGAUGAUUCAGCACCAGCCAGGGAGCCGGGCCUGCUGUCACCAAUCACCAGAUCACCAGCAGCUGAGACAGGUACACACUUCUAGAGGAACCUACCACCAGGGUGACAAGCAGUGUUUUGCUUCCCUUGCUGGUUAAAAGUUUCAAGCCUAUUUCACCUCUGACUACACCCAGCAUGACUGGCUAGGCAUGGUCAGGAACCUGCUCUGUUUUACCCCUAACCACACUUAACACUGACGUCAUGGGAUCCUUGAACACACCUAAACACCACCACAGCAACGUGAGAAGUUAAACCUCUGGAGCUCAUCAAAAUGCUGAUUUUCACCAAAGUACCACCAUCUCAGCAUUCACUGUCUCAUCUACUCCCACCUAUGCACUUGUCGAACUACUCUGAGGAAGAAAAUACCAAAGGGAUUGACAAAGAGCCAUUC